Molecule: long non-coding RNA, 241 nt
Filed under: Mytilus galloprovincialis (Mediterranean mussel)
Lineage: Eukaryota; Metazoa; Mollusca; Bivalvia; Mytilida; Mytilidae
Source: RNAcentral
GUGUUAGAAUUAUUAUUAUUAAAACGUGAAAAGGAGGGGACAGGUGAACUUUGCGCUAUACAUUCAGUGGUGGAUCCGGGGGGUCAGAGGGUCGGGUUGGAACCGACUUUUUAAAAAUUAUUAUUUUUUUUUGUAAUAUAUAUUUUUAUUAUUUUCAUAUCAUUUUCAAAUCUCAUCUACACAAAGAUGCACAAACAAAUUAUUCUGCUAUAAAUCCUAAACAUAUAGUUAACCAUACUUG